GACGAAAGUCUGACCGAGCAACGCCGCGUGAGUGAAGAAGGUUUUCGGAUCGUAAAGCUCUGUUGUAAGUCAAGAACGUGUGUGAGAGUGGAAAGUUCACACAGUGACGGUAGCUUACCAGAAAGGGACGGCUAACUACGUGCCAGCAGCCGCGGUAAUACGUAGGUCCCGAGCGUUGUCCGGAUUUAUUGGGCGUAAAGGGAGCGCAGGCGGUCAGGAAAGUCUGGAGUAAAAGGCUAUGGCUCAACCAUAGUGUGCUCUGGAAACUGUCUGACUUGAGUGCAGAAGGGGAGAGUGGAAUUCCAUGUGUAGCGGUGAAAUGCGUAGAUAUAUGGAGGAACACCAGUGGCGAAAGCGGCUCUCUGGUCUGUCACUGACGCUGAGGCUCGAAAGCGUGGGUAGCGAACAGGAUUAGAUACCCUGGUAGUCCACGCCGUAAACGGUGAGUGCUAGGUGUUAGGCCCUUUUCCGGGGCUUAGUGCCGGAGCUAACGCAAUAAGCACUCCGCCUGGGGAGUACGACCGCAAGGUUGAAACUCAAAGGAAUUGACGGGGGGCCCGCACAAGCGGUGGAGCAUGUGGUUUAAUUCGAAGCA
Molecule: ribosomal RNA, 595 nt
Filed under: Streptococcus mutans
Lineage: Bacteria; Bacillati; Bacillota; Bacilli; Lactobacillales; Streptococcaceae
Description: bacterial SSU rRNA
Rfam family: Bacterial small subunit ribosomal RNA
Source: RNAcentral